UGAAUACGAGAUGCUACGGCAUUGAAGCAGUGUAUGUCAGACUUCCAAGAAAAGCUCGCAAUGUCAUAAACAAUAAAUGCCUGUACCAUAACCGACACAGGUGGGUAGGUAGAGUAUACUAAGGGGCGCGAGAUAACUCUCUCUAAGGAACUCGGCAAAAUGACUCCGUAACUUCGGGAGAAGGAGUGCCUUAUUUUAUAAGGUUGCAAUAACAAGAUCCAAGCAACUGUUUACCAAAAACACAGGUCUCCGCUAAGUCGAAAGACGAUGUAUGGGGGCUGACGCCUGCCCAGUGCCAGAAGGUUAAAGAAGUUGGUUAGCUUCGGCGAAGCUGAUGACUGAAGCCCUGGUGAACGGCGGCCGUAACUAUAACGGUCCUAAGGUAGCGAAAUUCCUUGUCGGGUAAGUUCCGACCCGCACGAAAGGCGUAAUGAUUUGGAUACUGUCUCGGAGAGGGGCUCGGUGAAAUAGACUUGUCUGUGAAGAUGCGGACUACCUGCACCUGGACAGAAAGACCCUAUGAAGCUUUACUGUAACUUGAGAUUGAAAUUGGACUUUAUUUGCGCAGUAUAGGUGGGAGACGUUGAGAAUAUUCUUGCGGGAAUAUUGGAGUCAUCAGUGAGAUACCACUCUUGUAAUGUUAGAUUUCUAACUUUGUAUCAUUAUCUGGUCAAAGGACAGUUUCAGGCGGGCAGUUUGACUGGGGCGGUCGCCUCCUAAACGGUAACGGAGGCGCACAAAGGUUUCCUCUGAACGUGUAGAAAUCGUAUCUAGAGUGUAAAGGCAUAAGGAAGCUUGACUGUGAGACCUACAAGUCGAGCAGGGACGAAAGUCGGUCUUAGUGAUCUGACGGUGCUGAGUGGAAAGGCCGUCACUCAACGGAUAAAAGUUACUCUAGGAUAACAGGCUGAUCUCCCCCAAGAGUUCACAUCGACGGGGAGGUUUGGCACCUCGAUGUCGGCUCAUCGCAUCCUGGGGCGGUAGUACGUCCCAAGGGUUGGGCUGUUCGCCCAUGAAAGCGGUACGCGAGCUGGGUUCAGAACGUCGUGAGACAGUUCGGUCCAUAUCCGGUGUAGGCGUUAGAAUAUUGAGAGGAGCCUUCUUUAGUACGAGAGGACCGAGAAGGACAUACCUCUGGUGUACCAGUUAUCGUGCCAACGGUAAACGCUGGGUAGCUAUGUAUGGAGUGGAUAACCGCUGAAAGCAUCUAAGUGGGAAGCCCACCUCAAGAUAAGUAUUCUCAU
This 1244-nucleotide ribosomal RNA is filed under the name metagenome. RNAcentral describes it as "bacterial LSU rRNA". It matches the Rfam family "Bacterial large subunit ribosomal RNA", at positions 1564 to 2817 of the family's 2925-position model. The record is from RNAcentral.